UGUUUCCAGAUUAGAAAUCAAACCAAAUAAGAACUGUCGCUGCACACGUUGGAAAAUACCAGUACCAUUGAACUUUUAUUUUAUCCCUGUAGGCUUGGGAAUAAUUCCCAAAUCCCACUUGGAUUAUCAGAGAUGUGCAUUCUUACUAGCCUGCUAGCCCGUGUCAGUUUGUCGAAUGUAAAAGGUAUUGUGAAGGCUAGUAUAAUAGAGGGUCGUUAUAUGGUAUCGCUAUUCGGCAUAGCAAACGUUUAAGGUUAAUGUCCAUCUCAUAGUGAACAAAAUUCACCCUGUUUCGGGUAAUGGAGGCACGAAAAACACCCAGUUUCACCUGCACAAUUUUUUCAAACUCUGAACUGAUGUAGGCAACGUUUCAGUUGUAAGAUACAACUUAAUACCGGUGUUCAGACGAAAUAAACCCGGCAGUUUUCACCCUUGGCAAUGCCAUUAGGCUUUACCACGCCGGAAGCUGGCGAUGAGCCUCGUUCUGACUCAUCGAACUCCGUAACGUAGUUACCGUUGCCGUUAUCGACGUCCCUUCUGUUUUCAACAGAAAAACGAUCGCUUUUGCUCCGCUGACCUCUACGUUUCGCUCACUGCUGUAUCAUUCCAAGUGUGUCUUCUUCCAAGAUGAAUACAAGGCUUCACAUUCAAGCUCGGGAGGACAUAAUUCGCUAUUAUGGCACUCCUGCGGCUGUGAGUUUGUGGCCGUCUCAGGAUGAGAAGUCCGACUGUGUAUGUAGUUUUACAUGCCCACCCUAUAAAUUCUUCCGUCUAGUAUAGCUGAUUUGUUGCACAUUAAGUCUGCCCAGUCCCUAUAAUAAAGUGUGAUUCGUUUUCUUUGCAAAAGUAUCCCGUAUUUCUGUCUCACUUGACUUCCUUUGUCCCUCCCUCCACCCCUCGAUGUGUAGCGUUCCCUGGCUGUGUCCCCUUCCCGUUGUCCCGACCCCCUGAGCGUUUUCACUCCGUUCUGGGCCCGCCCUGUCUACGGUGAGACGCUCCCCGCCCCCGUCACCAUCAACCACGCCGCUUACUAUCCUGCCCCAAGUGACGACGAUGACAGUGACUACUGGGUGUACGAGGACGAGGACGACCACAGCUUUGUGGAUGACAGAGAGAUUCAUCCCCUUAGAAAGGCGCUGACGAGAGCGGCUGCCUUCUUUAGGAAGAUCUUCUCUUAGACUCCUUAUCCUUUUAAUGUCUGAAUGUGUGCAAGUGAGUGAAUGAAUGAGCAGGUGUGUAUGUAUGUAUGUAUGUAUGUAUGUAUGUAUGUAUGUAUGUAUGUAUGUGUGCGUUUGUGUGAGAGUAAAUAUAAGUUUGAAUGAACAUGCAUGUGUGUGUAUGUAUAUCUGGUGAGAAAGAGAGACUGAAUGAAUAUGUAUGUUUGUGUGUGUGUGUGUGUGUGUAUUGUGUGCGUGUGUGAGAGUAAAUGAAAGAUUGAAUCGGCAUGUCUGUCUGUCUGUCUGUAUGCAUGUAUGUGUGUGUAUUUGUGUGUGAGUGUGAGAGAGUGAAUGAGCAUGUAUGUAUAAUAAUGUGUGUAUGUAUGUUUGUAUGUGUGAGAGGGAGAGUGUAUGUAUGUUAGAGGUGAGGGUUAGAGUGAAUGAACGAGCAUACAUGUAUGAGAGAGAGAGAGAGAGAGAGAGAGAGAGAGAGAGAGAGAGAGAGAGAGAGAGAGAGAGAGAGAGAGAGAGUGAGAGACUACCAUUCCAUAUACCCGCUCUUAGCGUAUUUUUGGCGUAUUUUUAGGCUCACAGUUUUGGCCCAACUUUCAGUUUCCUUUCGGCAAACCUCUUGGCUUAUAAGCAUGGCACAAGACCAUACUUUCUAUACAAUUUUGGCCCGUUUUUGGAUCUCCCUUGAGGCAUAUUACUUUCGACUUUCGGUCAUCUGAAUAAAUGUUUCUGUAAUGUA
Molecule: long non-coding RNA, 1908 nt
Filed under: Haliotis rufescens (red abalone)
Lineage: Eukaryota; Metazoa; Mollusca; Gastropoda; Lepetellida; Haliotidae
Description: uncharacterized LOC125376150
Source: RNAcentral